Schistosoma haematobium is the source of this 78-nucleotide non-coding RNA. The record is from Rfam. NCBI's taxonomy places the organism in Eukaryota, Metazoa, Platyhelminthes, Trematoda, Strigeidida, Schistosomatidae.
AGCCUCCUGAACCUGUGCUGAGAGUUCGUCAGACACCAGACUGUCAGUAAUGAUGAGACUUCCAAGAUAAAUGAAACG